Molecule: ribosomal RNA, 467 nt
Filed under: uncultured bacterium
Lineage: Bacteria
Description: partial 16S ribosomal RNA
Rfam family: Bacterial small subunit ribosomal RNA
Source: RNAcentral
GACGAACGCUGGCGGCGUGCUUAACACAUGCAAGUCGAACGGAAAGGCCCUGCUUUUGUGGGGUGCUCGAGUGGCGAACGGGUGAGUAACACGUGAGUAACCUGCCCUUGACUUUGGGAUAACUUCAGGAAACUGGGGCUAAUACCGGAUAGGAGCUCCUGCUGCAUGGUGGGGGUUGGAAAGUUUCGGCGGUUGGGGAUGGACUCGCGGCUUAUCAGCUUGUUGGUGGGGUAGUGGCUUACCAAGGCUUUGACGGGUAGCCGGCCUGAGAGGGUGACCGGCCACAUUGGGACUGAGAUACGGCCCGGACUCCUACGGGGGGCAGCAGUGGGGAAUAUUGCACAAUGGGCGGAGGCCUGAUGCAGCACCGCCGCGUGCGGGAUGACGGCCUUCGGGUGGAAAACCGCUUUCGCCUGUGACGAAGCGUGAGUGACGGAAAUGGGUAAAGAAGCACCGGCUAACUACGU